CCUACGGGUGACAGCAGUGGGGGAUAUUGCACAAUGGGGGGAACCCUGAUGCAGCGACGCCGCGUGGGUGAAGAAGCGCCUCGGCGCGUAAAGCCCUGUCAGCAGGGAAGAAAAUGACGGUACCUGAAGAAGAAGCCCCGGCUAACUACGUGCCAGCAGCCGCGGGAAUACGUAGGGGGCAGGGGUUAUCCGGAUUUACUGGGUGUAAAGGGGGCGCAGCCGGCGAUGCAAGCCAGGAGUGAAAGCCCGGGGCCCAACCCCGGGACUGCUCUUGGAACUGCGUGGCUGGAGUGCAGGAGGGGCAGGCGGAAUUCCUGGUGUAGCGGUGAAAUGCGUAGAUAUCAGGAGGAACACCGGUGGCGAAGGCGGCCUGCUGGACUGCAACUGACGUUGAGGCCCGAAAGCGUGGGGAGCAAACAGGAUUAGAUACCCCAGUAGUC
RNAcentral lists this ribosomal RNA (440 nucleotides) under uncultured bacterium. RNAcentral describes it as "partial 16S ribosomal RNA". It matches the Rfam family "Bacterial small subunit ribosomal RNA", at positions 338 to 795 of the family's 1533-position model. The record is from RNAcentral.